GAGACAGGCUGGCGGCGUGCUUAACACAUGCAAGUCGAACGAGUGGCGAACGGGUGAGUAACACGUGGGUGAUCUGCCUUGCACUCUGGGAUAAGCUUGGGAAACUGGGUCUAAUACCGGAUAGUGCAAGAUGAGCUCGCGGCCUAUCAGCUUGUUGGUGGGGUAAUGGCUAACAAGGCGCGACGGGUAGCCGGCGUGAGAGGGUGACCGGCCAGAUUGGGUCUGAGUUACGGCCCGAACUCCUGCGGAAGUGAGCAGGGGGGGAUAUUGCACAAUGGGCGAAAGCCUGAUGCAGCAACUCCGCGUGGGGGAGGAAGACUUUCGGGUUGUAUACCUCUUUCGCAAUCGAACGGGUAGGUGGAGAAGAAGCGCCGGCUAACUACGUGCCAGCAGCCGCGGUAAUAC
Molecule: ribosomal RNA, 405 nt
Filed under: uncultured bacterium
Lineage: Bacteria
Description: partial 16S ribosomal RNA
Rfam family: Bacterial small subunit ribosomal RNA
Source: RNAcentral